RNAcentral lists this ribosomal RNA (253 nucleotides) under uncultured bacterium. RNAcentral describes it as "partial 16S ribosomal RNA". It matches the Rfam family "Bacterial small subunit ribosomal RNA", at positions 524 to 776 of the family's 1533-position model. The record is from RNAcentral.
UACGUAGGUGGCAAGCGUUGUCCGGAUUUAUUGGGUUUAAAGGGUGCGUAGGCGGUCCUAUAAGUCAGUUGUGAAAUACGGCAGCUUAACUGUCGAGGUGCAAUUGAUACUGCAGGACUUGAGUACAGACGAGGUAGGCGGAAUUGACGGUGUAGCGGUGAAAUGCUUAGAUAUCGGGAGGAAUACCAGUGGCGAAAGCGCCUUGCUGGGCCAUUAUUGACGCUGAGGAACGAAAGCCAGGGUAGCGAAAGGG